Molecule: ribosomal RNA, 1717 nt
Filed under: metagenome
Description: bacterial LSU rRNA
Rfam family: Bacterial large subunit ribosomal RNA
Source: RNAcentral
GAGUGCGUAAUAGCUCACUGGUCGAGUGACUCUGCGCGGAAAAUGUAACGGGGCUAAGCGUAUAACCGAAGCUUGGGAUUGCAACUAAUGCAGUGGUAGGGGAGCGUCGCAUGCGGGGUGAAGUCAGAGCGUAAGCACUGGUGGACUACAUACGAGUGAGAAUGCCGGAAUGAGUAGCGAGAAUUAUGUGGGAAUCAUAAUGGCCGAAAAUCUAAGGUUUCUUGGGGAAGGUUCGUCCGCCCAAGGUAAGCCGGGAGCUAAGGCGAGGCCGCAAGGCGUAGUCGAUGCACAUACGGUUGAAAUUCCGUAGCCACCGAAACUUAAACUAGAAGGACACUUGGAGCUAUCUGAUCCCGGGCGUUGGUUGACCCGGGCGAAAGGGACCGAAAUUAAGUAGGGAAGUCAGAGAAUAACGAGGCGAGAAAAGUUCUAGUGAAUGCUAAGGUGCCCGUACCGCAAACCGACACAGGUAGAUGAGGAGAGAAUCCUAAGGCCAACGGGAGAAGGGUUGUUAAGGAACUCGGCAAAAUUACCCCGUAACUUCGGGAUAAGGGGAGCCUCGAAAGAGGCCGCAGAGAAUAGGCCCAAGCGACUGUUUACCAAAAACACAGGUCUAUGCUAAAUCGAAAGAUGACGUAUAUGGGCUGACGCCUGCCCGGUGCUGGAAGGUUAAGAGGAGAGCUUAGCGCAAGCGAAGGUUUGAAUUGAAGCCCCAGUAAACGGCGGCCGUAACGAUAACGGUCCUAAGGUAGCGAAAUUCCUUGUCAGGUAAGUUCUGACCCGCACGAAUGGCGUAACGAUUUGGGCGCUGUCUCAACAGCCCACCCGGCGAAAUUGUAGUACUGGUGAAGAUGCCAGUUACCCGCAACUAGACGGAAAGACCCCAUGGAGCUUUACUGUAGCUUAAUACUGAGGAUUGGUAAAUCAUGUACAGGAUAGGUGGGAGACAUGGAAACAGUGGCGUCAGCCAUUGCGGAGUCACCCUUGGGAUACCACCCUUGAUUUACUGGUUUUCUAACCUGCGGCCGUGAAUCCGGUCGGGGGACACUGUUAGGUGGGCAGUUUGACUGGGGCGGUCGCCUCCUAAAAGGUAACGGAGGCGCUCAAAGGUUCGUUCAGCACGGACAGAAAUCGUGCAUUGAGUGUAAACGCAUAAACGAGCCUAACUGCGACACCGACGGGUGGAGCAGUAACGAAAGUUGGAGUUAGUGAUCCGGCGGUAUGCAAGUGGAAGUGCCGUCGCUCAACGGAUAAAAGCUACCCUGGGGAUAACAGGCUGAUCUCCCCCAAGCGUCCACAGCGACGGGGAGGUUUGGCACCCUGAUGUCGGCUCGUCACAUCCUGGGGCUGUAUUCGGUCCCAAGGGUUCGGCUGUUCGCCGAUUAAAGUGGCACGCGAGCUGGGUUCAGAACGUCGUGAGACAGUUCGGUCCCUAUCUGUUGCGGGCGUAAGAGAUUUGAAGGGAGCUGUCCUUAGUACGAGAGGACCGGGAUGGACAGACCUCUGGUGCACCAGUUGUCCUGCCAAGGGCAUAGCUGGGUAGCUACGUCUGGACGAGAUAAACGCUGAAAGCAUCUAAGCGUGAAACUCCCCCUAAGAUUAGAUCUCUCAUCCUUUAUGGAGUAAGGCUCGACGUAGACUAUGUCGUUGAUAGGUCGGAGGUGGAAGUGCUGUAAGGCAUGCAGCCGACCGAUACUAAUAAGCCGAGGGUUUGAUC